RNAcentral lists this long non-coding RNA (745 nucleotides) under Prunus dulcis (almond). RNAcentral describes it as "sRNA ncRNA". Lineage: Eukaryota; Viridiplantae; Streptophyta; Magnoliopsida; Rosales; Rosaceae. The record is from RNAcentral.
AUGGGUGAAAUUGAUCUUGUGGUUGCAUCACAUGCUUUCUCCCAUGCAUCACGUUCGGCCGAAUCGCAGAAAUUGUCGAAAAAAGGACGAAAUUGUAAGUGUCACAAGACCAAAAAGAUUUUCCAAAUCUAUAAACAUGGCGAAUUUAUUAUUUAUCCCCUUAAAGUGAUUGUAUAUAUACUGCUCUCACAUUUAGUUCUUUAGUAAUAAUCAUGAGAUCACUUUGUGUGAGAGAACGGUUGCGAUCCAUAGACUGUUGUAUAUGGAAAAGUUAAUUUCUCCUUACACCGUCUGUGCCUGACUUUAAUUAUCAAAGAUGAUUAGGUCAAUGGUAUGUUACUAAUUGGUGGUUGGAUUUUGUAAUUUUAGCUUGCCUUUCCCAUAGCAUAGUGUACGGGUUGUUGUGCACGCUGCAGUGCCAGUGGGUCUACUCAUGCACGUAUAGACACAGAUUGCGCCAAAAAUUUGUUCUGCCAGACGAGCCUUGUGGUGAUUGUUGUGUUCAUUUCUUCUGUGAACCGUGUGCCCUCUGCCAAGAACAUGAUGAGCUCAAAUCUAGAGGCUUCAACCCCUCCAAAGGUUUUAAACUAAUCCUGCACCACACAUAUAUGUCGUCAUCGUAUAGUUAUGACCUUAAAUUUAUCAUUAUCGGCAUCAUUUACAUCAAUUUUUAUUUUGUAUUUGUUUUUAUGAUGUAGGUUGGAUUGGGCCACCUACGCUGCUCCACAGAUGCCUCCUUCGAUGA